RNAcentral lists this ribosomal RNA (332 nucleotides) under uncultured Acidobacteriota bacterium. RNAcentral describes it as "bacterial SSU rRNA". It matches the Rfam family "Bacterial small subunit ribosomal RNA", at positions 568 to 898 of the family's 1533-position model. Lineage: Bacteria; Pseudomonadati; Acidobacteriota. The record is from RNAcentral.
CGCGUAGGCGGCCUGAUGUGUCCACGGUGAAAUCCCUCGGCUCAACCGAGGAACUGCCGUGGAAACUGUCGGGCUCGAGGCCGGGAGAGGGUGGUGGAAUUCCCAGUGUAGCGGUGAAAUGCGUAGAUAUUGGGAGGAACACCGGUGGCGAAGGCGGCCACCUGGACCGGUUCUGACGCUGAGGCGCGAAAGCGUGGGGAGCAAACAGGAUUAGAUACCCUGGUAGUCCACGCUGUAAACGAUGAGUGCUCGGUGUCGCGGGUAUCGACCCCUGCGGUGCCUUAGCUAACGCGUUAAGCACUCCGCCUGGGGAGUACGGUCGCAAGGCUGAA